Lontra canadensis (Northern American river otter) is the source of this 128-nucleotide long non-coding RNA. RefSeq lists it as uncharacterized. The transcript has 4 exons. NCBI's taxonomy places the organism in Eukaryota, Metazoa, Chordata, Mammalia, Carnivora, Mustelidae. The record is from RefSeq and is a predicted model, not a curated record.
ACAUACAUUCCAAUAAAACUAAAUUCAGUGAUAUUAAAUUAUUUCCCAUCAUAAUUUUUGAUAUCAUGCCUAAAUAUAAAAAUCUAUAGUAUCUUGGGUGGCGCAAUGAUCAAUUUGAUCAAGAGUCA